CAAGGUUUCCGUAGGUGACCUGCGGAAGGAUCAUUAUCGAACAAGAAGGGGGAAAGACUGUCGCUGGCGAAAGCAUGUGCACGUCCGACCUUUUCUACUACACACACCUGUGCACCUUUUGUAGGUCCUCGAAAGAGGAUCUAUGUAUUUCAUCAUCACACCUAUCGUAUGUCUAGAAUGUCAUCGUCGACCACUGGGCGGCGAAAUAAAUAAUACAACUUUCAGCAACGGAUCUCUUGGCUCUCGCAUCGAUGAAGAACGCAGCGAAUUGCGAUAAGUAAUGUGAAUUGCAGAUUUUCAGUGAAUCAUCGAAUCUUUGAACGCACCUUGCGCUCCUUGGUAUUCCGAGGAGCAUGCCUGUUUGAGUGUCAUUAAAUUCUCAACCAUGACUUUGUUGACAUGGCUUGGAGUUGGGGGUUGCUGGCUUGUUGUCAGCUCUCCUGAAAUGCAUUAGCGGUGGACAAGCAAGGCCUUCCGACGUGAUAAUGAUCGUCGUGGGGCGGAGCAUCAACGUCUGUCUGCUUCUAAAUCCCAGAUGCCUUAGCUACUAGUAGAAAGACAUCAUUUCGAACGCUUGACCUCAAAUCAGGUAGGACUACCCGCUGAACUUAAGCAUAUCA
This 620-nucleotide ribosomal RNA is filed under the name Imleria badia. Its description in RNAcentral is "eukaryotic LSU rRNA". The stretch from base 217 to 371 matches the Rfam family "5.8S ribosomal RNA". The record is from RNAcentral. Lineage: Eukaryota; Fungi; Basidiomycota; Agaricomycetes; Boletales; Boletaceae.